RNAcentral lists this ribosomal RNA (218 nucleotides) under uncultured bacterium. Its description in RNAcentral is "partial 16S ribosomal RNA". It matches the Rfam family "Bacterial small subunit ribosomal RNA", at positions 524 to 741 of the family's 1533-position model. The record is from RNAcentral.
GACAGAGGGUGCAAACGUUGCUCGGAAUCACUGGGCGUAAAGGGCGCGUAGGCGGGAAUGUAAGUCGGGCGUGAAAUCCCCAGGCUCAACCUGGGAACUGCACUCGAAACUGCGUUUCUUGAGUAUCGGAGAGGAAAGCGGAAUUCCUGGUGUAGAGGUGAAAUUCGUAGAUAUCAGGAGGAACACCAGUGGCGAAGGCGGCUUUCUGGACGGUAACU